RNAcentral lists this ribosomal RNA (94 nucleotides) under Staphylococcus argenteus. The record is from RNAcentral. RNAcentral also lists the same sequence under 1 other name. Lineage: Bacteria; Bacillati; Bacillota; Bacilli; Caryophanales; Staphylococcaceae.
UCACACCUGUUCCCAUGCCGAACACAGAAGUUAAGCUCCUUAGCGUCGAUGGUAGUUGGACUUACGUUCCGCUAGAGUAGAACGUUGCCAGGCA